Molecule: ribosomal RNA, 841 nt
Filed under: Milnesium sp. F6528
Lineage: Eukaryota; Metazoa; Tardigrada; Eutardigrada; Apochela; Milnesiidae
Description: eukaryotic LSU rRNA
Rfam family: Eukaryotic large subunit ribosomal RNA
Source: RNAcentral
UCCCCGCGUAAUUUAGGCAUAUUACUAAGCGGAGGAAAAGAAACCCAACGGGGAUUCUCCUAGUAACUGCGAGUGAACGGAGAAAAGCCCAGCGCUGAAUCCUGUAGCUGGAAACGGUUAUGGGAGCUGUAGCGUGAAGAAGGUGUACAACCAAUGCAGUCAAUACACGUAAGUCUCCCUGAGUGGAGCUCCAUCCCAAGGAGGGUGCAAGGCCCGUAUCGUGUUUGACGCGUGUUGGUAUAGCAUUUUCAGAGAGUCGGGUUGUUUGGGAUUGCAACCUAAAGCCGGUGGUAAACUCCAUCGAAGGCUAAAUAUGACCACGAGUCCGAUAGCGAACAAGUACCGUGAGGGAAAAUUGAAAAGCACUUUGAAGAGAGAGCGAAAUAGUGCGUGAAACCGCUUAGAGGCAAGCAGAUGGGGCCUCGAAGGUAGAGCAGCGAAUUCAGCUUGCAUUUCUGCUAGACUACUGUCGGCGUAGAGAUCGUAAGACUCUUGCCGAUGUAGGGUGUAUAGUGGAAUGUGAGUGCACUUUCGCUGCUUGUACGCCACCGCUGUUAAACUGCAUCCGCUGUGGCUUUGCGUGAGGCCUUGAGUGGCUUGCUGCUUAAGUCACCUACGCUUGGCCGUAUGCAGCGCGUUUGCGUAUUAACUGGUCAAGUCAUUCCUAUGCCAGCAUCGCUUCGGUGAUGUGAUGUAGGUUGCCGGCGUGUUUAUAGCUGCCUCGCAUUGCGGUUGACGUGCUUGCACGGCCUCUGCUGCUGGUGGUAUACUGCGUUGGACCUGCAGGUGUAGUGUAGAUUGGUGGCGAGUAGACGGCUGCCCAUCUAACCCCGUCUUGAAA